GACGGGUUUGCUACCGUGGGGCUGGGUGAUCCGGAUGCUGCUAUCGAUGUGUUAUCCCUAGCAUCAAGAGAUGGUUCUUCUAGAACAUGUAAGUACUCAUUUACAAUGAGCAUUUUAUUAAUUUGUAUCAAGUGAGAUAGUGGCUGAAUACAUUCUAUUAUCUAGUAAAUUCUAGGCAUGCAUUUUCUAGAUUUGUUGUUUUAUCCUUUUUUCCCUCCUCUUCAAAAGUCUGUGUGUGUGUGUGUGUGUGUGUGUGUGUGCAUGCAUGUUCAUGUGUUGGUUCUGGACUACACCUUGUUUGAGACACACUGGGCCACAGACUUCUGAGGCUCUUCAUGCCUCCACCUUCUGUCUUCAGCAGGAGCGAUGAGGUUAGAGAUACACUCGACAUGGGUUUUGGGGGCUCUGGACUCAGUUCUCUACACUUGCAAGCUUCCCAGCCCACCCCCUCUUCCUGCAGGCAGUAUGCAGAUGUAGCUCAGGUUGGUCUGGAACGUGGGUUCCUCUUGCCCCAGACUCCUCAGUGCUAGGAUCACUGGCAAGAUUUGUUCCCUGUUUAGUCGACUACAGCCCUCUUCUCCCACUGCAGAAAAAAAAUCUGCAUCAGGUGUCCACAGUCUUUCAGCCCCUACGAUGUUUCCAAUCUUAUUGUCUGCUCACCCUUGGCUGUCCCCCUCCAGCAGCCGGCGGUAGGUCUCAAUCUCCAUCUCCAGGCGAGCCUUGACGCCCAGCAGCCGCUGGUGGUCCGCAUUCUGGCGCUCCGCGUCAGCCCGCACCUGUUGGAGUUGCUCCUCCAGGCUGCCGAUCAGCUGCUGCACCUGAGACAGUUGGCAGCAGUACCCACCCUCGGUUUCAGCCAGCGAGCCUUCCAGGGACGACUUCUGCAAAUGGGAGAUAGACAGAAUUGUCUGGGGAUCAGAGAACAAGAUGGGCAGCCCAUGGUCCAGCAUACGGUGGGUGCAACAUCUUUUUUUUUGGAAGUUAAAGGAUGCAUCAUCUCUCUCUGCAUGUCACGCUACCAUGGCGAGCUGGGACUGGAGUUCAAUCUCUAGGUUCUGCACCAUGCGCUUCAGGUCGGUGACCUCGCUCUUGCUGGACUGAAGCUGCUCCGUGUUGCUGCUGAUCUCUUUUCGGAGCUCUCUGCUCUGCAACAGCAAAGUAGGUGGAUGGGGUGAGCUCUGCGCUGGCUCAAAGGGCUUUCUGGGAAUGCAUCAAAUCUCGCGGUGUUACCUUUUCAAGAAACCAGGCCUCUGCAUCUUUCCGAUUUUGCUCAGCCAUGGCUUCAUACUGGGCUCUCAUUUCAUUGAGGACCUUGGUGAGAUCCACUCCAGGGGCCGCGUCCAUUUCUACAUUGACCUCACCUGGACCACCUGCCUGGAAACUUUGGAGUUCCUAGAGACAGCAAUGGAGAGAGAAAGACACAGGAGUACAUGUGGCUAGUGAGUCCCCCAGGUACGUUUGCCUUCUUGGGUCUCUUCAUGCAUGAUAAUAAUAAAAAAUAUAUUUUUGAGUGAGUUGGUAUAAAGGCAAAAUAUUAGCGCAAGGCAUCCACACAUUUUUCUUUAAGCUUGAAAACCUGUUUCUCUCAUAAUUAAAAAAAACUAAAACCAAAAACCAAGAUAUUUUCUCAGGUUUCUUGAGUGAUCAGGGGCUCCACGUUCUGUGCCUGUGGUUGCUGGCUCUGCUUCUAGAACAUCCACUUCCUAUAGUUUACAGAAAGGAAAGAGACCUGGUGUGCAGAUUGCUGCUACAGAGCUAGUGCCACAAGUGGCACCUGGGGUCAUACACUAUUUCACACCAUAGUCAUUGAGAACCCAACAGAAAGUUUCUUAGAAGCCCAUUGCCAGUGGUCGUUCUUCCUGUCCAUGCCCCGGCCUCUGAUACACACAUCAGAUCUCCAUAUGUCUUAUAUUGGUUACACUUCUCUAACAUAUGUGGCUGGUAUAUGUGUCAGCUGUAGACUUUUGUUUUCAUUUUUGAAACACUCCGUAUUUAAAGAAAACAUUUGACGAAGGUAAUUAAAAUUCCUGCCAUUACUUAAUGAUGGAAAUAGUAAAACCAGAAUAUUCCCCGCUAUCCCAAGUCUAAUACUCGAAUCCAUUAAGCCUUAAUAAAAAAUACCAUGACACAUACACAAGAGGGUGAGGUGGGGUGGGGGUGGGGGGCACACAUAGAGGAACACCAAAA
Molecule: long non-coding RNA, 2187 nt
Filed under: Mus musculus (house mouse)
Lineage: Eukaryota; Metazoa; Chordata; Mammalia; Rodentia; Muridae
Description: RIKEN cDNA A830036E02 gene
Source: RNAcentral